CCCGUUUUGUGCUUGAAGACCCCCCUCUAAAAAAAUACCCUCCGCACCCUUGCUAUUUUUUUUUUUUUUUUUUUGGCGGACGCCAGAAAAAGGGCUUGAUAGGCUCCAUUACUACACUACUCUCGGCCCCCCCCGCCAUUUUUUUUUUUUUUUUUUUUUGAAACCCCAACAACGGAAAGAGCGAAAAAAAAUAGCUCCCAAAAAAGCCCGUCCCCCCCCCCUCAAAAAAAACCCCAACCCCGCCCCCCUAUCCGGUAAUUGGGGCGCACGUACGCGGAAACUGGUCCGAAUUUGCGAUACUUGGUGUGAAUAUGCGAUACUUGGUGUGAUUAUGCGAUAGCUGUGUGAAUUGCAGAAUCCCGUGAACCAUCGAGUCUUUGAACGCAAGUUGCGCCUGAAGCCACUAGGUUGAGGGCACGUCUGCCUGGGCGUCACACAAUGUGUCGCCCCCUUGCAGCUCGCCUUGCACAGGAUGAGUGUUGCUAAUGGGGGCGGAUAAUGGCUUCCCGUGCGUAGGUGCGGCCGGCCUAAAUUGUAGUCCCUCAUCUCACGGGGUCACAACAAGUGGUGGUUGAAAAGCUUAAACAAGUUGUGCACACCAUGCGAUGGAGGUGAUGUUUUGGACCCUAAGGCGAUCCCUCUACUGUGAGGAGCGUUCGUCACGACUGCGACCCCAGGUCAGGCGGGGCUACCCGCUGAGUUUAAGCAUAUCAUAAGCGGAGGAACUAGAUU
Molecule: ribosomal RNA, 732 nt
Filed under: Decalepis hamiltonii
Lineage: Eukaryota; Viridiplantae; Streptophyta; Magnoliopsida; Gentianales; Apocynaceae
Description: eukaryotic LSU rRNA
Rfam family: 5.8S ribosomal RNA (bases 309-434)
Source: RNAcentral